Molecule: ribosomal RNA, 405 nt
Filed under: uncultured bacterium
Lineage: Bacteria
Description: partial 16S ribosomal RNA
Rfam family: Bacterial small subunit ribosomal RNA
Source: RNAcentral
AUUGAACGCUGGCGGCAGGCCUAACACAUGCAAGUCGAACGAGUGGCGGACGGGUGAGUAAUGUCUGGGAAACUGCCCGAUGGAGGGGGAUAACUAUUGGAAACGGUAGCUAAUACCGCAUACCAUCGAAUGUGCCCAGAUGGGAUGAGAUAGGAGGGGGGGUAAUGGCUCACCUAGGCGACGAUCCCUAGCUGGUCUGAGACGAUGACCAGGCACGCUGUAACUGAGACACGGUCCAGACUCCCACGAGAUGCAGAAGUGGGGAGUAUUGCACAAUGGGCGCAAGCCUGAAGCAGGCAUGCCGCGUGUAUGAAGGAGGCCUUCGGGUUGUAAAGUACGUUCAGCGGGGAGGCGUUACUCGCAGAAGAAGCACCGGCUAACUCCGUGCCAGCAGCCGCGGUAAUU